UACGAAGGGGGCUAGCGUUGUUCGGAUUUACUGGGCGUAAAGCGCACGUAGGCGGAUUGUUAAGUCAGGGGUGAAGUCCCGGAGCUCAACUCCGGAACUGCCUUUGAUACUGGCAAUCUUGAGGCUGGAAGAGGUUAGUGGAAUUCCCAGUGUAGAGGUGAAAUUCGUAGAUAUUGGGAAGAACACCAGUGGCGAAGGCGGCUAACUGGUCCAGAUCUGACGCUGAGGUGCGAAAGCGUGGGGAGCAAACAGG
This 253-nucleotide ribosomal RNA is filed under the name uncultured bacterium. RNAcentral describes it as "partial 16S ribosomal RNA". It matches the Rfam family "Bacterial small subunit ribosomal RNA", at positions 524 to 776 of the family's 1533-position model. The record is from RNAcentral.